This 1409-nucleotide ribosomal RNA is filed under the name uncultured bacterium. RNAcentral describes it as "bacterial SSU rRNA". It matches the Rfam family "Bacterial small subunit ribosomal RNA". The record is from RNAcentral.
GUAUGCCUAACACAUGCAAGUCGAACGAAGUCUUCGGACUUAGUGGCGGACGGGUGAGUAACGCGUGAGAAUCUGCCUUGAGGAUGGGGACAACAGUUGGAAACGACUGCUAAUACCCGAUGUGCCGGAAGGUGAAAAUUUUUUGCCUCAAGAGGAGCUCGCGUCUGAUUAGCUAGUUGGUGGGGUAAAAGCGUACCAAGGCAACGAUCAGUAGCUGGUCUGAGAGGAUGAGCAGCCACACUGGGACUGAGACACGGCCCAGACUCCUACGGGAGGCAGCAGUGGGGAAUUUUCCGCAAUGGGCGAAAGCCUGACGGAGCAAUACCGCGUGAGGGAGGAAGGCCUUUGGGUUGUAAACCUCUUUUCUCAGGGAAGAAGAUCUGACGGUACCUGAGGAAUAAGCAUCGGCUAACCCCGUGCCAGCAGCCGCGGUAAUACGGAGGAUGCAAGCGUUAUCCGGAAUUAUUGGGCGUAAAGCGUCCGCAGGUGGUCUUUCAAGUCUGCUGUCAAAGACCAGAGCUUAACUCUGGGCAGGCGGUGGAAACUGAGAGACUAGAGUUCGGUAGGGGUAGCGGGAAUUCCCAGUGUAGCGGUGAAAUGCGUAGAUAUUGGGAAGAACAUCGGUGGCGAAGGCGCGCUACUGGACCGAAACUGACACUCAGGGACGAAAGCUAGGGUAGCGAAAGGGAUUAGAUACCCCUGUAGUCCUAGCUGUAAACGAUGGAAACUAGGUGUGGCUUGUAUCGACCCGAGCCGUGCCGUAGCCAACGCGUUAAGUUUCCCGCCUGGGGAGUACGCACGCAAGUGUGAAACUCAAAGGAAUUGACGGGGGCCCGCACAAGCGGUGGAGUAUGUGGUUUAAUUCGAUGCAACGCGAAGAACCUUACCAGGGCUUGACAUGUCCGGAACUUUUCUGAAAGGAGAAGGUGCCUUCGGGAACCGGAACACAGGUGGUGCAUGGCUGUCGUCAGCUCGUGUCGUGAGAUGUUGGGUUAAGUCCCGCAACGAGCGCAACCCUCGUCUUUAGUUGCCAGCAUUAAGGUGGGCACUCUAGAGAGACUGCCGGUGACAAACCGGAGGAAGGUGAGGAUGACGUCAAGUCAGCAUGCCCCUUACGCCCUGGGCUACACACGUACUACAAUGGUUGGGACAAAGGGCAGCGAACCCGCGAGGGAGAGCGAAUCUCAUCAAACCCAGCCUCAGUUCAGAUUGCUCUCUGCAACUCGAGAGCAUGAAGGAGGAAUCGCUAGUAAUCGCAGGUCAGCAUACUGCGGUGAAUUCGUUCCCGGGCCUUGUACACACCGCCCGUCACACCAUGGAAGCUGGUCACGCCCGAAGUAGUUACCCUAACUUUCGAGAGGGGGACUCCUAAGGCAGGGCUAGUGACUGGGGUGAAGUCGUAACAAGGU